CAACAAAACACCCCCUCAGGUGCCCUGCUCCCGGAUGGGCGGGCAUAAUGGCGAAGCCGGUGCAAGUCCGGCACUGUCGCGCAACUGUGAUCCACACGCCGGUGUGGUCAGUCAGGUCGACCGCCUGAGGUGGCGUUUCUCA
RNAcentral lists this non-coding RNA (142 nucleotides) under Anaerolinea thermophila. Lineage: Bacteria; Bacillati; Chloroflexota; Anaerolineae; Anaerolineales; Anaerolineaceae. RNAcentral also lists the same sequence under 1 other name. The record is from RNAcentral.